AUAACCUACAGUUGACAGAUUCAAGUGAAGAAAGUGAGGUCGGAGCGGAGCGUGAGGAGGUCGGAGCGGAGCGUGAGGAGGUCGGAGCGGAGCGUGAGGAGGUCGGAGCGGAGCGUGAGGAGGUCGGAGCGGAGCGUGAGGAGGUCGGAGCGGAGCGUGAGGUCAAUGAAGGAAAUCUUGUAUAUCCACAGAUUGCACAAAGUAAAAAUGGAGCGGGUAAGGUCAUUGAACCCAACAGAAUACUAAACAAGGAGAUGAAGCCAAGCAGUAAGAAGAAAACAAAUGAACAAUCUGCUUCUCUGGAAAAUGCAAGGAGGGUCAAAAAGCAUCCUUGGUCUCCCACGGAGGUUGCUGCGAUAAUGAAGUAUUUUGGCGAACAUAUCAAAAAAGGAAAACUGGCCACUAUUAUCGAAUGCCAGCAAUGCAAAACUGCAGAAGAUCCUGCUCUGGCUGGUCGUUCUAUUCAAAACAUCAGAGAUUUUGUGAGGAAUCGGGGCGUGUCGUUGAAGAAAAAAGAAAAUCCUAUGUAGAGGAGUC
Molecule: long non-coding RNA, 537 nt
Organism: Astatotilapia calliptera (eastern happy)
Lineage: Eukaryota; Metazoa; Chordata; Actinopteri; Cichliformes; Cichlidae
Source: Ensembl